UUUAUCAAAAACAUGUCUUCCUGAGAAACCUUUAUAGGAAGUCGGACCUGCCCGGUGAAUUUUUUUAACGGCCGCGGUACCCUAACCGUGCGAAGGUAGCGUAAUCAUUUGCCCUAUAAUUGAGGGCUCGUAUGAACGGUUUGACAAGAGCAAAACUGUCUCUGUUUAGUUUAAUAGAAUUUUAUUUUUAGGCGAAAAAGCCUAAGUAGAAUUAAAAGACAAGAAGACCCUAUCGAGCUUUAAACAAAUUAAUUAAAUAAUUGCUAUUAAUAAACUAAAAACAAUAUAUAAUUAAACAUUUUAGUUGGGACGACUCGGGAACAAAAAAAGCUUCUUUCAACCACUAAAAAUUAAUUCGUCUUGAUCCAUAAUUAGUGAUACAAGGAAUUAGUUCCGUAGGGAUAACAGCAUAAUUCCUUUAGAGAGCCCAUAUCGAAAAAGGAGUUUGUGACCUCGAUGUUGGAUCAAAAUACCCCAAAAAUGCAGCAGUUUUUAAAGGUUGGUCUGUUCGACCAUUAAAAUUUUACGUGAUCUGAGUUCAGACCGGCGUGAGCCAGGUCAGGUUCUAUCUUUAAUUUUUAAUUUUAAGCUUAGUACGAAAGGAUUAGCUUAAAGUGUUACAUCUCCUACACACCUAUAGAAAUAAUAUAAUAACCACAAUUAAAUUAAAAAAUUACACAUAAAGGCGGCAGAACGAGUGCAUUAGGUUU
Molecule: ribosomal RNA, 710 nt
Filed under: Mirandaphera arafurensis
Lineage: Eukaryota; Metazoa; Mollusca; Gastropoda; Neogastropoda; Cancellariidae
Description: partial 16S ribosomal RNA
Rfam family: Bacterial large subunit ribosomal RNA (bases 1-598)
Source: RNAcentral